Molecule: unclassified non-coding RNA, 2210 nt
Filed under: Leishmania donovani
Lineage: Eukaryota; Euglenozoa; Kinetoplastea; Trypanosomatida; Trypanosomatidae
Description: gene:LdHU3.13.1920(CDS-product:chaperonin_TCP20_p utative)
Source: RNAcentral
CUAUCAUCUGUGAUCUUACAUACCUAGCCUCUUUUCGCGAUUACAAAGGUACUGCAGGCUCAGCGCACAUAGAUUUACUCUCUGAAGGGACUGUGCUCAGUCCAUUUUUAGACUAACUGAGGAGCACUGACGACAACAAGGAUACAUAAACAUGUCGAGCCUGGCUUACAUCAACCCUGGCGGCAAACAGGCCCGCAAGGCGAGCGCUCUGGAUAUCAACAUGAUUGCCGCGCGAGGGCUGCAGGAAGUUUUGAAAACUAACCUUGGGCCUCGUGGCACAAUGAAGAUGCUGGUCUCUGGUGCUGGCAUGAUUAAAAUCACCAAAGAUGGUAACACUUUGCUUGGCGAAAUGCAAAUUCAACAUCCGACCGCGGCGCUUAUCGCUCGCGCAGCGACUGCGAUCGACGACAUUACAGGUGACGGGAGUACCGGUGUGGUCCUUACGAUUGGCGAGAUGAUGCGGCAGUCGGAGCGCUACAUUCAGGAAGGUAUGCACCCGCGCACAAUCACGGAGGGCUUUCACAUCGCCCGCGACGAGGCUCUCAAGUUUUUGGAAGGGAAUAUUAUUGAAAUACCUAACGAGGAACGGCGGGAGUAUCUAACCAACGUGGCGCGGACUGCGUUGACGACGAAAGUGAAUGCCGGGCUAUCGGAGAAGCUCGCAGAGGCUGUUGUGGACGCUGUAUACGCUAUCGCCGAGCAUGGAAAGGAGGUGGAUCUGCACAUGGUGGAGGUGAUGCACAUGCGCCACCGUCUCAGCUCGGACACGCGCUUUGUGAAUGGUAUUGUGCUUGAUCAUGGUGGUCGUAACAGCGACAUGCCCAAGUAUCUUGAGAACGCUUAUAUUCUAACCUGCAAUGUGUCGCUUGAGUACGAGCGCAGUGAGCUGACCACAGGCUUCUACUACAAGGAUCCUGCGGAGAAGGCACGCAUGGUGGAGGCAGAGCGCAAAAUGACCGACGAUCGCGUGCGUCAGAUCAUCGAGCUGAAGAGGAGAGUGUGCACGAAGGAAAAUGGUCGGACGUUCGUGGUGAUUAAUCAGAAGGGCAUUGAUCCUAUUUCUCUGGAGAUGCUUGCGAAGGAGAACAUUCUUGCGCUGCGCCGCGCGAAGCGUCGCAACAUGGAGCGCCUGGUGCUGGCGUGCGGCGGGGAGGCAGUCAACGCCACUGAUAAUCUGACGCCAGACGUUCUCGGCGAGGCCGGCCUCAUUCAGGAAUACACGUUGGGUGAUGACAAGUACACUUUUGUGGAGAACGCCUCCAAGGGUAAAAGCUGUACGCUGCUCGUGAAAGGCCCAAACGACCACACAAUUGCACAAAUAAAGGACGCCGUACGCGACGGAUUGCGUGCUGUGAAGAACGCCUUUGAGGCUUUGGCGGUUGUUGCCGGUGCUGGUGCCUUCGAGGUGGCGCUGCACGACCAUCUGAUGAAGUUUGCCGACAACGUGAGCGGGAAGCAGAAGAUCGGCAUCCGCGCCUACGCUGACGCCAUGCUCGUCACGCCCAAGACACUGGCUGAGAACUCCGGCCUUGACGUGCAGGAGUGCCUUAUCACGCUGCAGGAGGCCAGCAGGACGGCUCGCAAAGGCGGAAAGUGGGCUGGUCUCAGAAUCGAGAACGGUGACGUGAUUGAUCCCAUCGCGGCCGGUAUUCUCGACAACGUUAUUGUGAAGCGGAGUCUUCUUGAGUGCACUGGCGACAUCGUUGCGCAGCUGCUCCUCGUCGACGAGAUCAUGAAGGCUGGGCGCCGCGGCGCCGGAGGUCAGUAGCAUGGCGGAGUGAGGUGCGGUUCUACGUAUGACACAGAGGCCUAUGGCAGUCGACACUGCUGCUGUUCGACGUGCUGCAAGUUUUUUUUGUGUUUUUUUUUUCGUUUUCUUUUUACUCCCUAUCACAGGCUGAGUGUCAUGGGUGCCCGUGUAUGAUUGUCGUUGUGUCUAGAAAGUGAGCACAUUUGCACGCGUUGUAGGUGGUGGUUGACAAAUCAGUUUUGCUGACGUGGCGGUUCGCGCUUUCGUUAGCUGUGAACCGGGAGGAUGCGGCUGGGAGCAUUGACGAGUAUUGUCUGCGCCGCCAGGAACGGCAGCACUCCCCGUGCACGUUGAUAAUCUCUUCAAUUUUGAACUGAAAAAGCCCGUUAACGGCGUAGGGGUCGGCGAUUGUGGUGAGGACAGAAAAAGCAGGAAAACUGUUUGGCCAGGUGAAACAAAC